GACGUAGGAGGCGAGCGUUGUCCGGAAUUACUGGGCGUAAAGAGCGCGUAGGCGGCACGGUACGACCGGGGUGAAAGCCCCCGGCUCAACUGGGGAGGGUCACCGGUAACGGCCGAGCUAUGAGUGCAGGAGAGGGAAGUGGAACUCCGGGAGUAGCGGUGAAAUGCGUAGAGACCCGGAGGAACACCAAUAGCGAAGGCAGCUCGCUGGGACGUUACUGACACUGAGGCGCGAAAGCGUGGGGAGCGAACAGG
Molecule: ribosomal RNA, 254 nt
Filed under: uncultured bacterium
Lineage: Bacteria
Description: partial 16S ribosomal RNA
Rfam family: Bacterial small subunit ribosomal RNA
Source: RNAcentral